Molecule: ribosomal RNA, 492 nt
Filed under: uncultured bacterium
Lineage: Bacteria
Description: partial 16S ribosomal RNA
Rfam family: Bacterial small subunit ribosomal RNA
Source: RNAcentral
AGUGAACGCUGGCGGUAGGCCUAACACAUGCAAGUCGAACGGCAGCACAGUAAGAGCUUGCUCUUACGGGUGGCGAGUGGCGGACGGGUGCGGAAUACAUCGGAAUCUACUUUUUCGUGGGGGAUAACGUAGGGAAACUUACGCUAAUACCGCAUACGACCUACGGGUGAAAGCAGGGGAUCUUCGGACCUUGCGCGAUUGAAUGAGCCGAUGUCGGAUUAGCUAGUUGGCGGGGUAAAGGCCCACCAAGGCGACGAUCCGUAGCUGGUCUGAGAGGAUGAUCAGCCACACUGGAACUGAGACACGGUCCAGACUCCUACGGGAGGCAGCAGUGGGGAAUAUUGGACAAAGGGCGCAAGCCUGAUCCAGCCAUACCGCGUGGGUGAAGAAGGCCUUCGGGUUGUAAAGCCCUUUUGUUGGGAAAGAAAGGCAGCAGGUUAAUACCCCGCUGUUCUGACGGUACCCAAAGAAUAAGCACCGGCUAACUUCGUG